Molecule: ribosomal RNA, 504 nt
Filed under: uncultured Bacillota bacterium
Lineage: Bacteria; Bacillati; Bacillota
Description: bacterial SSU rRNA
Rfam family: Bacterial small subunit ribosomal RNA
Source: RNAcentral
UAGGGAAUCUUCCACAAUGGGCGAAAGCCUGAUGGAGCAACGCCGCGUGAGUGAAGAAGGUUUUCGGAUCGUAAAACUCUGUUGUAAGGGAAGAACAAGUACAGUAGUAACUGGCUGUACCUUGACGGUACCUUAUUAGAAAGCCACGGCUAACUACGUGCCAGCAGCCGCGGUAAUACGUAGGUGGCAAGCGUUGUCCGGAAUUAUUGGGCGUAAAGCGCGCGCAGGCGGUCCUUUAAGUCUGAUGUGAAAUCUUGUGGCUUAACCACAAGCUGCAUUGGAAACUGGGGGACUUGAGUGCAGAAGAGGAGAGUGGAAUUCCAAGUGUAGCGGUGAAAUGCGUAGAUAUCUGAAGGAACACCAGUGGCGAAGGCGGCUUUCUGGCCUAUUCUUGACGCUGAGGCGCGAAAGCUAGGGGAGCGAACGGGAUUAGAUACCCCGGUAGUCCUAGCCGUAAACGAUGAACACUAGAUGUUGGUGGUAUCAACCCCGCCAGUGUCGUAG